GACGAACGCUGGCGGCGUGCUUAGCACAUGCAAGUCGAACGGAAAGGCCCUGCUUUUGUGGGGUGCUCGAGUGGCGAACGGGUGAGUAACACGUGAGUAACCUGCCCUUGACUUUGGGAUAACUUCAGGAAACUGGGGCUAAUACCGGAUAGGAGCUCCUGCUGCAUGGUGGGGGUUGGAAAGUUUCGGCGGUUGGGGAUGGACUCGCGGCUUAUCAGCUUGUUGGUGGGGUAGUGGCUUACCAAGGCUUUGACGGGUAGCCGGCCUGGGAGGGUGACCGGCCACAUUGGGACUGAGAUACGGCCCAGAGUCCUACGGGAGGCAGCAGUGGGGAAUAUUGCACAAUGGGCGGAAGCCUGAUGCAGCAACGCCGCGUGCGGGAUGACGGCCUUCGGGUUGUAAACCGCUUUCGCCUGUGACGAAGCGUGAGUGACGGUAAUGGGUAAAGAAGCACCGGCUAACUACGUG
RNAcentral lists this ribosomal RNA (468 nucleotides) under uncultured bacterium. RNAcentral describes it as "partial 16S ribosomal RNA". It matches the Rfam family "Bacterial small subunit ribosomal RNA", at positions 28 to 507 of the family's 1533-position model. The record is from RNAcentral.